Anolis carolinensis (green anole) is the source of this 2393-nucleotide long non-coding RNA. RefSeq lists it as uncharacterized. Lineage: Eukaryota; Metazoa; Chordata; Lepidosauria; Squamata; Anolidae. The transcript is spliced from 5 exons. The record is from RefSeq and is a predicted model, not a curated record.
GAAACAGAGCAGGAAAGAGAAGAGACUGUCCUUCAAAUGGGGUUUCAUUAUCUUAGUGAGCAAUGCAAGCAAGCAUGCCAUUUAAAUGAUAAACAAACAUGAGCUUCAUUCCUUAAGUGCUCUUUGUACAAUAACCAUCCAUCCAUCCUUUAUUGUAUUUUAAUUUUAAAAAACUUUGUACAAUAAUUUGUACAGAUUGUUUUAUCUCUAUGCUGAGUUUUGCCAUUUUCAAUUAGGCUGUGCUAAAUGUUUGUCUAUUGUAAUAUUUCAAUGUGGUGAGACUUAUUUCUAAGUAAAUAUGAAUAGGGUCACAUAGGCUGGAAACAAAGAUAGAGCAGGGAGAAAUAUUUUUCUCACAUCUUCCUAAUAUUAAUCUUUCUUACAGGCAUUGUUUCCCCUACCUACUGCUGCUUCUUCACCUUCCUGCCUCCAAAGUGUUUUAAUGGAAUCUCAGCUGGAUGGAUCUCCAGCUGUUCUCAUGCUACAAGGGAAAAUGACACCAUGGAUGUACAAAAUACAGACUUAAAUGGCUUAAAACUCUGGGAGUCUUCAAUUCCAGUGUAGAUCCCAAGUCUAUAGACUUUGCCUCUUCACAUCUGUUCAGCAGGGCGAGUUCCAGUACAUCCAUUUCUCGGGCAACUCUCAUCCCUCUUCAGACAUAUCCAAGUUGUUGCAUUUCUUUAGAAAACCAGGCAACUGAUUUCAAGAGUGAUACCCUUCUGACCAACCUGCCUGGAAUCCUGCCUGAAUCAUAUUUUCAUCCAUAUGGAUACUAGUCCUAUACAGAAAUGUUAUGGUCUCUGUGGAAAAAGAUGGAUCUUGGGCAGGAAAAGCUGUUUUCAAUGCAAAACAACUAUGGUUAAGAGCCAUUGGAUAGAAUAUUGCUUUCACAUGCACUGUAAGGAACAUUGGUACCAUCAUACAUUCAGUAGCUAUGCUUUGCUGUAAUCUGUGUUCUAAAAUAUCUUGGGUCUUAGGCUGAGAGAAACUAAUAAUAAAAAUAAUAAAUAUAUGACAAAACCGUAUUUGUGUAAAAGCUGGUGAACUAUGAAUAUGACUUUUUAAAAAUGAAUGAAUGCUGCCAUAACAUCUUCAAGGAAAACAUCUCAUCAGCAUCAAGUUCUAGAAGGAAAAGGUCACUUCUAACACUAUAGAAAUAGUGUGUAAUAUCACAGCAAUGGUAAUAAUGACAUUAAAAACUGGAGAGUUUUCACAAAUAACUUGAAAUAUGAUUCACCACCGUAUGAUGAAAAGAACAUCGGCUACGAGAGGAGCGCUUGAGGUGGCAGCUGAAACAUUCAUUACAAAUAAGUUUCUUUGUGAUGUAAAAUGCACUUUGUAUUAAUGUUGUCUUGCUUUGCCUCGGGAAACGGCAUAACCACAAAAGGCACAGAAGAAAUGUUUUUGGACAAAUCAUUCAGAAAUUAAUUCUGUGGGAAUGUUUGUAAACUGACAAGCAAGUAGACUUUGACUUAUGAUGAUACUGUGAAUGAGUUUUUUAAAUCAACCUGUCAUCAACAGUCUAAUUUUGGUCUUGCAAACUCAGGACUGUAACUUUCUCGAUUUUAAGUCUAUCAGUAAAGUAGCAUUCUUUGUUUCCUAGUGCCUUUGGUCUUCCAUUAUUGACAGCUACCAUUAAUAUCUUUUCUAGUGAGUAAUGUCUUCUUAUAAUAUGUCCAAAAUACAAUGGUCUCCAUCUACUCCUCCGCAAAAGCCACAAGUAGCUAUUUGGCAAAUUUAGUCUGACUCCUCCACAAAAACCUAAAUAGGAGUCCUUGCCAGCAGCACUACUGUUACCACCAUAGUCCCUUAUCUCACACAAGCACACAAUCUGACGGCCAUGGAGAGGUAAUGUCAUGGAGAGGUAAGGCCAUGAUGGGACCAUGGGAAUAAAGGUACCCACAUAUAAUCUAUUAUCAUGGGCCCUUUUUGGACUAAGGGAUCAAUAUGGCUAUUUGGAGGGCCUCAAUCUUUGUUCUGAUAGCAGCUUAUCUGUACAAUUUUCAUCGACUGAAUAAUCUGUUUACAGUCUUAUAACUGCUUAUGGACCAACUCUUGCAAAAGCUGAAUUACCCAGUAUUGACCCUGCUAAGUAACUCAUGUGAAGCUUGCCUCCACACAAGUCAUCCUACACCCAUACGUGCGAUGCUGUGAAUGUGUUUAGGCUUUUUGUCCAUGCUCGAGAACCAGAUUUAUCUUUAGAAAAUAGCACCUCAUAAAGCCAACAAUAAAGUAGAUAGAGAUAGUCCUUUGCAAAUCCAUGAUUUCUGAUAAUACAAUUGAAUUAAAAAAGCAUUUUCAACAUGAAGGAUUUAAACAACUAUGGAGACUCUAUAGAGUUGUAACGGGUCAUGAUGAUAAGAUUUGCAAAUAUUGUUGUUUAAAUUCCCAGU